GGCGUUGUGGUUCAGUGGUAGAACGCUCACCUAGCAUGUGAGAGGCACUGUGCUCAAUCCUCAGCACCA
This 69-nucleotide transfer RNA is filed under the name Ictidomys tridecemlineatus (thirteen-lined ground squirrel). RNAcentral's name for it is "Spermophilus tridecemlineatus (thirteen-lined ground squirrel) tRNA". It matches the Rfam family "tRNA". From Rfam's summary of the family: Transfer RNA (tRNA) molecules are approximately 80 nucleotides in length. Their secondary structure includes four short double-helical elements and three loops (D, anti-codon, and T loops). Lineage: Eukaryota; Metazoa; Chordata; Mammalia; Rodentia; Sciuridae. The record is from Rfam by way of RNAcentral.